This 460-nucleotide ribosomal RNA is filed under the name uncultured bacterium. RNAcentral's name for it is "partial 16S ribosomal RNA". It matches the Rfam family "Bacterial small subunit ribosomal RNA", at positions 338 to 795 of the family's 1533-position model. The record is from RNAcentral.
CCUACGGGGGGCAGCAGUGAGGAAUAUUGGUCAAUGGACGAGAGUCUGAACCAGCCAAGUAGCGUGAAGGAUGUCUGCCCUAUGGGUUGUAAACUUCUUUUAUAUGGGAAUAAAAUGUUCCACGUGUGGGAUUUUGUAUGUACCAUAUGAAUAAGGAUCGGCUAACUCCGUGCCAGCAGCCGCGGUAAUACGGAGGAUCCGAGCGUUAUCCGGAUUUAUUGGGUUUAAAGGGAGCGUAGGUGGAUUGUUAAGUCAGUUGUGAAAGUUUGCGGCUCAACCGUAAAAUUGCAGUUGAAACUGGCAGUCUUGAGUACAGUAGAGGUGGGCGGAAUUCGUGGUGUAGCGGUGAAAUGCUUAGAUAUCACGAAGAACUCCGAUUGCGAAGGCAGUUCACUGGACUGCAACUGACACUGAGGCUCGAAAGUGUGGGUAUCAAACAGGAUUAGAUACCCGUGUAGUC